RNAcentral lists this transfer RNA (74 nucleotides) under Chloroflexota bacterium. Its description in RNAcentral is "Chloroflexi bacterium tRNA-Arg". It matches the Rfam family "tRNA". From Rfam's summary of the family: Transfer RNA (tRNA) molecules are approximately 80 nucleotides in length. Their secondary structure includes four short double-helical elements and three loops (D, anti-codon, and T loops). Further hydrogen bonds mediate the characteristic L-shaped molecular structure. tRNAs have two regions of fundamental functional importance: the anti-codon, which is responsible for specific mRNA codon recognition, and the 3' end, to which the tRNAs corresponding amino acid is attached (by aminoacyl-tRNA synthetases). tRNAs cope with the degeneracy of the genetic code in two manners: having more than one tRNA (with a specific anti-codon) for a particular amino acid; and 'wobble' base-pairing, i.e. permitting non-standard base-pairing at the 3rd anti-codon position. Lineage: Bacteria; Bacillati; Chloroflexota. The record is from RNAcentral. RNAcentral also lists the same sequence under 4 other names.
GCGCCCAUAGCUCAGCCUGGAUAGAGCACCGGGCUACGGACCCGGGUGCGGGGGUUCAAAUCCUCCUGGGCGCA